RNAcentral lists this ribosomal RNA (813 nucleotides) under uncultured bacterium. RNAcentral's name for it is "bacterial SSU rRNA". It matches the Rfam family "Bacterial small subunit ribosomal RNA", at positions 60 to 916 of the family's 1533-position model. The record is from RNAcentral.
AGUCGACGGGAAUCUUCGGAUUCUAGUGGCGGACGGGUGAGUAACGCGUAAGAAUCUAACUUCAGGACGGGGACAACAGUUGGAAACGACUGCUAAUACCCGAUAUGCCGCGAGGUGAAACCUAAUUGGCCUGAAGAAGAGCUUGCGUCUGAUUAGCUAGUUGGUGGGGUAAGAGCCUACCAAGGCGACGAUCAGUAGCUGGUCUGAGAGGAUGAGCAGCCACACUGGGACUGAGACACGGCCCAGACUCCUACGGGAGGCAGCAGUGGGGAAUUUUCCGCAAUGGGCGAAAGCCUGACGGAGCAACGCCGCGUGAGGGAGGAAGGUCUUUGGAUUGUAAACCUCUUUUCUCAAGGAAGAAGUUCUGACGGUACUUGAGGAAUCAGCCUCGGCUAACUCCGUGCCAGCAGCCGCGGUAAUACGGGGGAGGCAAGCGUUAUCCGGAAUUAUUGGGCGUAAAGCGUCCGCAGGUGGUCAGCCAAGUCUGCCGUCAAAUCAGGUUGCUUAACGACCUAAAGGCGGUGGAAACUGGCAGACUAGAGAGCAGUAGGGGUAGCAGGAAUUCCCAGUGUAGCGGUGAAAUGCGUAGAGAUUGGGAAGAACAUCGGUGGCGAAAGCGUGCUACUGGGCUGUAUCUGACACUCAGGGACGAAAGCUAGGGGAGCGAAAGGGAUUAGAUACCCCUGUAGUCCUAGCCGUAAACGAUGGAUACUAGGCGUGGCUUGUAUCGACCCGAGCCGUGCCGAAGCUAACGCGUUAAGUAUCCCGCCUGGGGAGUACGCACGCAAGUGUGAAACUCAAAGGAAUUGACGG